UGAUAUAAGCUUUAAUCUGUGUC
This 23-nucleotide small nuclear RNA is filed under the name Arabidopsis thaliana (thale cress). Its description in RNAcentral is "snRNA_00959". Lineage: Eukaryota; Viridiplantae; Streptophyta; Magnoliopsida; Brassicales; Brassicaceae. The record is from RNAcentral.